CCUAUCUUUGAGUCCUUUCUUUAGAGAAAAUUCAGUGAAUGCUAUAUAAUAUUUUACAGUUUAGCUAAGUUCAUUCUUAUAAGUAUGUAAUACCUAUCAGAUUAAAUGACUAGGAAAUUCCAAAAGGGUUACAUAUGGACCACAAAUUUCUUCUUUAACUAACAAGGGUGAUAAUAAUAAAAGAUUUAGAAAUUCUGAACACAUGCCACAAAAUUUUAAGGGUCUGAACCACUUUUUGUGUCCCACUCUCUCCUCCCUCCCUCUCUCG
RNAcentral lists this long non-coding RNA (268 nucleotides) under Vigna radiata. RNAcentral's name for it is "long non-coding RNA (VRAD_LNC003023)". Lineage: Eukaryota; Viridiplantae; Streptophyta; Magnoliopsida; Fabales; Fabaceae. The record is from RNAcentral.